Molecule: non-coding RNA, 1094 nt
Organism: Sturnus vulgaris (Common starling)
Lineage: Eukaryota; Metazoa; Chordata; Aves; Passeriformes; Sturnidae
Source: RefSeq, a predicted model, not a curated record
GGCAGUGGCAGAUCCAUCCACAGGACUUCUUUUGCUCAAGGACCUGGGUACACUUGAACCAGACAAGCUCAGCAGUGACAGAACCAGAACUGGCUUCAGCAUCCAUCACAGAUCAUCUUUCCUGCCCUGAAGGACUGCUGUGACAGAUGGAGCCCAAACUCAUGGACUAAAUUUCUCCACGAGACUACCCAUAGACUAAUGAAACUAUAUCUGUAACCCCAAAGGUUCUGAGACAUCUAUUGUAAACAGCAGAAGCCUGAGGAUAGCAUGCUCCCCCACUUAAGAGGACCCAGAGAACUACAGGAUAAGCUGGUGAAGAUUCAGAGAACACUCAAAACUGAGCACAGAGAAGAGAGCAGCACACUACAUGAGACUGAAGAAACAUCACAUGGUACAGCAGAGUUAAAGAAGGAAUAACUAAAAAAGAUUCUGAUCCUGUUCUCUUCUUCCCCAUAAAAAUCCCACGACUCCAUGUGAAGGGGAAAGUUUGACUAAAAGAGGAUUCUAUUACAAAUUAACCAGGAUCAAUUUCUUGGAAUUAGAUGGUACUUGCCUUUUCAGCAGCUGACACGUCAGCCGUUUGUAUGAAGACUGUUAAGAAACCCAUGACUUCCUUUCCUUCUUACAUGAUCUCAGUGAGAACAGGGGAGAGCUGGUAGUUAUAUCCAGUGCUGGGCACUGCCUCUUCUGCAGGUAAGCCCAUGCUGCAAGAUGGAUCAGGUAACGGGUUGUAAACUGUUGUACUAAAAUUUUGCUUAUGAAUGUAAACAAGAGCCUCCUGGAGCAGGAGCCACGGGUGCUGUGGUGCCAAAGAAUAUAAAGGAUUGGCUCUUUUGGCCUCUUUGUUAUACCCCAAUUCUGCUUUAUCCUGCAUGGCUGAUGCAGCCUGCUGAUGCAUUUUUAAGAGAACAGUGAGAAGUUACAUUUUGCACAUACAAUUAUUUCGUCUGUGGUUACAGCUUGUGUUUUGAAAAUUUCACAUCUGUUUCCAGUGCCUGUCUGACAUCAGCUACUCCUAAGAAGACUCCCUUCUUAUUUCACAGGUUCAGUGCAGAAGGCAACUAUUGACACUACAAAUUUUCCAAUUUUUCUGC